Molecule: long non-coding RNA, 241 nt
Filed under: Cyanistes caeruleus (blue tit)
Lineage: Eukaryota; Metazoa; Chordata; Aves; Passeriformes; Paridae
Description: lncRNA (ENSCCEG00000005520.1)
Source: RNAcentral
UGACGUGAUGGUGGCACAUCAAAGCUGGCCCUUCCCACUUAAAUCUGAGGAAAUAGAAUCUCUCAGAACUUAUCUCUGAAGAUAACUGGCAACCAUAUCAAUUACUGGAGCCAAAAUAAUGUAUAGGAACUUGACUGUCUAUCAGUUGUACCCCAGAAGCCAGCCAGGUGGAAAUACAGAGAAACAGCUUCCCCCUCUUUCCCUCUGCAUUACACUGUUCCUCAUGACACCCUGAGCUCUU